AGCCCGAGCGAUAGAGGGUCGCGAGGCGGGCGGAGGAGGCGUUGUGGCGCAAGAGCUGGAAGGGGCUUAGCGAGCGCAGCCUCUCGAGGAAGGUCGUCAGGCACGCCUCGAUUUCUAAGAGGGUAAAGUCCGCAGCAUGCCAGCAACCGGUCUGCACAAACAAGCAAAGCCCCAUCCGUGGGAUGCAGGCAGCACACAAAACCACACACUCUCAGGUCCGUGGAAAAACCUUUCUUCACAGAACCAGUCCCUGGUGCCCAAAAGGUUGGGGAUCUCUGCUCCAUAGUCUUCAGUAACUCUCAGUAAUUCCAACUGCUGUCCAACAGCUCUUCUUAGAAUAGUUAUCAUGCAAUUGUCACAGUCGGUAUUAAAAUAUACCCACAUAGCAAAUAAUGUAGAUGCACAUGAGUUCCUUUGCUUCAAUUACAAAGAAAACAGUCAUUUCAUUCAAAAUAGUAUAGGCCUCAACUGAAGCUAAUCCUGCCAUGCUAUUAAGAAUUUCCAAUUUCCUAAACCCUAGCUGUUUCCAUACUACUGUUCUAAAGGUUUAUACUUUCACUGUGUGACAUACUUUAAAAAUUAUUUUGAAGUGAGGCAAUAUUUUAAACUGAAAUAUUAUUAUAAUUGUAAAUGUUGUUUAUUCAAGUUAAUUACAUCAUAUUUUAUGUCCAUGAAUUCACUGUUAUUGUCUAUUGGGAAGCACAAAGCCUCAUAAUUUUGAAGUAACUAGGUCAAGUUUUCAUGUGAAAAUUAUAUCUUAUUAUGAAAUGGUCAAUAAACAUGUACUAUUUUUGUUUCAUAUCUUAGAUAUAGUACUGAAGUAAACAUCAUCAUCUCCCUACCACUAUUAAAAGAUAAAAAGUAUACAACUGAAUUCUAACCAGGCUCAGCCCUGCUUAAGUUAACCAGUAUUGCCAUCUGUUGAGGUUGGUGUAAGGAAGAGCACAUGUGAAGGUCAAAUGCACCUCCUUUCCCCUUCUUUUUGAUGAGCUCUUCACAUGAAGCAUUGUACUCAGAGUCUUUAAAAAAGCUGUGUGGAAAAAUAAAUCCAAGAUGAACAAAGGAGAUUUAUACUGUGUUUUAUAACAAUUGCUUCAAUUUAUGCCCCAAAUAGCAACAAAAUAAAGUUCUGCAAAACAUUG
This is a long non-coding RNA of Crotalus tigris (Tiger rattlesnake), 1142 nucleotides long. RefSeq lists it as uncharacterized. The record is from RefSeq and is a predicted model, not a curated record. The transcript has 2 exons. NCBI's taxonomy places the organism in Eukaryota, Metazoa, Chordata, Lepidosauria, Squamata, Viperidae.